This 500-nucleotide ribosomal RNA is filed under the name uncultured bacterium. RNAcentral's name for it is "partial 16S ribosomal RNA". It matches the Rfam family "Bacterial small subunit ribosomal RNA", at positions 29 to 507 of the family's 1533-position model. The record is from RNAcentral.
AACGAACGCUGGCGGCGUGCCUAAUACAUGCAAGUCGAGCGGACUGAUUAAGAGCUUGCUCUUAUGACGUUAGCGGCGGACGGGUGAGUAACACGUGGGCAACCUGCCCUGUAGAUCGGGAUAACACCGAGAAAUCGGUGCUAAUACCGGGUAAUAUCUGAGAUCACAUGAUCUUAGGUUAAAAGAUGGCUCCGGCUAUCACUACAGGAUGGGCCCGCGGCGCAUUAGCUAGUUGGUAAGGUAAUGGCUUACCAAGGCGACGAUGCGUAGCCGACCUGAGAGGGUGGUCGGCCACACUGGGACUGGGACACGGCCCAGACUCCGACGAGAGGCAGCAGUAGGGAAUCUUCCGCAAUGGACGAAAGUCUGACGGAGCAACGCCGCGUGAGUGAUGAAGGGUUUCGGCUCGUAAAGCUCUGUUGUUAGGGAAGAAACAGUACCGAACGAACUAGGUCGGUACCUUGACGGUACCUAACCAGAAAGCCACGCCUAACUACGUG